This 578-nucleotide ribosomal RNA is filed under the name Aplanochytrium sp. PBS07. RNAcentral describes it as "partial Bacterial small subunit ribosomal RNA". It matches the Rfam family "Bacterial small subunit ribosomal RNA", at positions 122 to 695 of the family's 1533-position model. The record is from RNAcentral. Lineage: Eukaryota; Bigyra; Thraustochytrida; Thraustochytriidae.
GAAACUGCCUGAUUGAGGGGGAUAACUACUGGAAACGGUAGCUAAUACCGCAUAACGUCGCAAGACCAAAGAGGGGGACCUUCGGGCCUCUUGCCAUCGGAUGUGCCCAGAUGGGAUUAGCUAGUAGGUGGGGUAAUGGCUCACCUAGGCGACGAUCCCUAGCUGGUCUGAGAGGAUGACCAGCCACACUGGAACUGAGACACGGUCCAGACUCCUACGGGAGGCAGCAGUAGGGAAUCUUCCGCAAUGGACGAAAGUCUGACGGAGCAACGCCGCGUGAGUGAAGAAGGUCUUCGGAUCGUAAAGCUCUGUUGUUAGGGAAGAACAAGUAUCGGAGGAAAUGCCGGUACCUUGACGGUACCUGACGAGAAAGCCACGGCUAACUACGUGCCAGCAGCCGCGGUAAUACGUAGGUGGCAAGCGUUGUCCGGAAUUAUUGGGCGUAAAGCGCGCGCAGGCGGUCCUUUAAGUCUGAUGUGAAAUCUUGCGGCUCAACCGCAAGCGGUCAUUGGAAACUGGGGGACUUGAGUGCAGAAGAGGAAAGCGGAAUUCCACGUGUAGCGGUGAAAUGCGUAGAG